This 212-nucleotide ribosomal RNA is filed under the name uncultured bacterium. Its description in RNAcentral is "partial 16S ribosomal RNA". It matches the Rfam family "Bacterial small subunit ribosomal RNA", at positions 524 to 732 of the family's 1533-position model. The record is from RNAcentral.
GACAGAGGCCUCAAGCGUUAGGCGGAAUCACUGGGCUUAAAGCGUGUGUAGGCGGAUCGUUAAGUGUCUUGUGAAAUCCCACGGCUCACCCGUGGAACGGCUGGGCAUACUGGCGAUCUUGGGCCAACUAGGGGGCAACUGGAACAAGCGGUGGAGCGGUGAAAUGCGUAGAUAUCGCUUGGAACGCCGGAAGGUGAAAAACAGGUUGCUGG